Molecule: small nucleolar RNA, 153 nt
Filed under: Carlito syrichta (Philippine tarsier)
Lineage: Eukaryota; Metazoa; Chordata; Mammalia; Primates; Tarsiidae
Source: RNAcentral
AGGACUGGUCAAUAAACAAAACAGCAAAAUCCUGCCUUGGAACAUGUAUUUAAUGAAAAAAGAAAACUAGUACAAGAGGGGCAAGUUUUUCACUAACGUCACAAGGGUCUCUGGUCCAAUGAGUGGAGUUUGAUAGUAAUCCUUGCUACAAGU